Long non-coding RNA from Penaeus monodon (black tiger shrimp), 367 nucleotides. RefSeq lists it as uncharacterized. The record is from RefSeq and is a predicted model, not a curated record. The transcript has 3 exons. NCBI's taxonomy places the organism in Eukaryota, Metazoa, Arthropoda, Malacostraca, Decapoda, Penaeidae.
UAAGCUGUUGUAAGGAACGUCUGUGUUCGGCAGUUAUUUUUAAGAAGAUAUGAUUAUUUUAAUGCGUGGUCCAUCGAGCGCACUAUGAGGCUGCUGCGCCUCUAUGUUCUGUGCUUGGGCGUCUGCUUGUCCGCGGCCGGAGGCGACGAACAAAAAAGAUGUGUCAUCACGGAAAUGAAAAAUAAGAUUGAAAAACUAACAAAGGAAACACUAGGAAAACCCCUUUACCUGUGGUCUGGUCCUUCUCUGUCUUCGGUGACUUUCGUGCUGUUUUUAAGAAAUAACAGUGGAGGUGAUGAAGCAAGCGAGACUGUCAAUUUGAAGAAUGAGACUCAGCUUCUUCUUAAGAGAUGGACCACGAUAGAAU